This 161-nucleotide non-coding RNA is filed under the name Streptomyces sp. The record is from RNAcentral. Lineage: Bacteria; Bacillati; Actinomycetota; Actinomycetes; Kitasatosporales; Streptomycetaceae.
CUCCGGGUGUGGAAGACUGCACCGGCACAACAAUUCGAUCGAGACGGCAGGCCAGGAAGCCGGUGCGAAUCCGGCGCGGUCCCGCCACUGUGACCGGCCCCGUGCGCGUCAGCGCGGCACGGAGCCGGGAGUCAGACACUGGGCUGCCGUCUUCCUCAUAC